UACGGGGGGAGCAAGCGUUGUUCGGAUUUACUGGGCGUAAAGGGCGCGUAGGCGGCCAGCACAAGUCAGUUGUGAAAUCUCCGAGCUUAACUCGGAAAGGUCAACUGAUACUGUGCGGCUAGAGUGCGGAAGGGGCAACUGGAAUUCUUGGUGUAGCGGUGAAAUGCGUAGAUAUCAAGAGGAACACCUGCGGCGAAGGCGGAUUGCUGGGCCGACACUGACGCUGAGGCGCGAAAGCUAGGGGAGCGAACGGG
RNAcentral lists this ribosomal RNA (254 nucleotides) under uncultured bacterium. RNAcentral's name for it is "partial 16S ribosomal RNA". It matches the Rfam family "Bacterial small subunit ribosomal RNA", at positions 524 to 776 of the family's 1533-position model. The record is from RNAcentral.